UCUCCAGACUCCUACGGGAGGCAGCAGUGGGGGAUAUUGCACAAUGGGGGAAACCCUGAUGCAGCGACGCCGCGUGAGUGAAGAAGUAUUUCGGUAUGUAAAGCUCUAUCAGCAGGGACGAAAAUGACGGUACCUGAGUAGGAAGCCCCGGCUAACUACGUGCCAGCAGCCGCGGUAAUACGUAGGGGGCAAGCGUUAUCCGGAUUUACUGGGUGUAAAGGGAGCGUAGACGGCUGUGCAAGCCAGAUGUGAAAGCCCGGGGCUCAACCCCGGGACUGCAUUUGGAACUGUGUGGCUGGAGUGUCGGAGAGGCAGGCGGAAUUCCUAGUGUAGCGGUGAAAUGCGUAGAUAUUAGGAGGAACACCAGUGGCGAAGGCGGCUUACUGGACUGUAACUGACGUUGAGGCUCGAAAGCGUGGGGAGCAAACAGGAUUAGAUACCCCGGUA
This 447-nucleotide ribosomal RNA is filed under the name uncultured bacterium. RNAcentral's name for it is "bacterial SSU rRNA". It matches the Rfam family "Bacterial small subunit ribosomal RNA", at positions 328 to 792 of the family's 1533-position model. The record is from RNAcentral.